AUGGACGCUCUCUCCCUGCAGAGAAAACUCAAGCCGCACUGUAUGCAGCCACCACAACCUCAAGCCGAGCUCCCGCGCCCACCGGCGAGAUCUGGUCCCGAACCCCCGCAGCAGGGCGUCGUCGGAGGGCUGGCCACGACCACGCCGAUCCGGAGCCCGGAGAGCCCUGGUGCAAAUCAACGCGGAGAGCCCAACCAGCCCCCGCGCGCUCAGGCCCGGCCACCACGAGCCCAUACGCAGACGUGA
RNAcentral lists this ribosomal RNA (246 nucleotides) under Triticum aestivum (bread wheat). Its description in RNAcentral is "partial small subunit ribosomal RNA". Lineage: Eukaryota; Viridiplantae; Streptophyta; Magnoliopsida; Poales; Poaceae. The record is from RNAcentral.